RNAcentral lists this ribosomal RNA (279 nucleotides) under uncultured bacterium. RNAcentral's name for it is "partial 16S ribosomal RNA". It matches the Rfam family "Bacterial small subunit ribosomal RNA", at positions 506 to 784 of the family's 1533-position model. The record is from RNAcentral.
UGCCAGCCGCCGCGGUAAUACGGAGGGCGCGAGCGUUACCCGGAUUUACUGGGCGUAAAGGGCGUGUAGGCGGCUUGGGGCGUCCCAUGUGAAAGGCCGAGGCUCAACCUUGGAGGAGCGUGGGAUACGCUCAAGCUAGAGGGUGGGAGAGGGUGGUGGAAUUCCCGGAGUAGCGGUGAAAUGCGCAGAUACCGGGAGGAACGCCGAUGGCGAAGGCAGCCACCUGGUCCAUUUCUGACGCUGAGGCGCGAAAGCGUGGGGAGCGAACCGGAUUAGAUA